RNAcentral lists this non-coding RNA (45 nucleotides) under Schistosoma margrebowiei. Lineage: Eukaryota; Metazoa; Platyhelminthes; Trematoda; Strigeidida; Schistosomatidae. The record is from RNAcentral.
AUGCAACUGACGAGUCCCAAACAGAACGAAGUGCGCGUCCUGGAU